This 460-nucleotide ribosomal RNA is filed under the name uncultured bacterium. Its description in RNAcentral is "partial 16S ribosomal RNA". It matches the Rfam family "Bacterial small subunit ribosomal RNA", at positions 338 to 795 of the family's 1533-position model. The record is from RNAcentral.
CCUACGGGCGGCUGCAGUGAGGAAUAUUGGUCAAUGGCCGGAAGGCUGAACCAGCCAUGCCGCGUGAAGGUCAGUGCCCUAUGGGCGUUAAACUUCUUUUGUGCGGGAGCAAUAAUGGUCACGUGUGGCCAGACGAGAGUACCGUACGAAUAAGCAUCGGCUAACUCCGUGCCAGCAGCCGCGGUAAUACGGGGGAUGCAAGCGUUAUCCGGAUUUAUUGGGUUUAAAGGGUGCGUAGGCGGUGAGGUAAGUCAGCGGUGAAAUGCCCCCGAUCAACGGGGUGAAGUGCCAUUGAUACUGCCGUGCUGGAAUGCGGAUGACGUGGGAGGAAUGUGUGGUGUAGCGGUGAAAUGCAUAGAUAUCACGCAGAACACCGAUUGCGAAGGCAUCUCACGAAUCCGCGAUUGACGCUGAGGCACGAAAGCGUGGGUAUCAAACAGGAUUAGAUACCCGAGUAGUC